RNAcentral lists this long non-coding RNA (262 nucleotides) under Lathyrus oleraceus (garden pea). Its description in RNAcentral is "Pisum sativum (pea) long non-coding RNA (PSAT_LNC017441)". Lineage: Eukaryota; Viridiplantae; Streptophyta; Magnoliopsida; Fabales; Fabaceae. The record is from RNAcentral.
UUUUUGUGAGCUUCUCUUAGCGAGUGAUACGUUCCUCAGCGAGAGCUCACUCAACGAGCAUAGGUUUGCUCAAAGUGAGUGGCAAUGCAAAGUUGUUAUUUUUUUCGAUUUAUUAGUAUAUUUUCCGAUUUGCAAUGACUAUUGGUUACUUUUUUGUGGUGUUCGAUACGAUAGUUGACAUGUUUGAGGGAUGUAUGAAUAUAUGUUGUGGAAUGUAUGGAUAGUUGCAAAAAUCGUUGUCUUUACUUAAUGAUGAAUUGGU